GGGCUUGACUGGAAUUGACAGCGAGUUGGAAUGGUAUGUAAGCAUGCAGUGGGUCGGUAAUUUCCACUUAAAUCUCAGUUAUCAAAAUUUUAUCUGGCAACGAAAAUUAUGCUCUCGCUGCUUAAUCGAAGUAUAGUAGAUUAACUUUAUUUCUGCCAAAGUGGUGGAAACGAGAUGUCGCUCAAAAGCUCUUGCUCCGAAGCGUUUGAUAAAGCGGCACAGCAAAAUCGGGGAUAGUUUGAGUUCUUCUCCAUAGCUCUUACGAAAUAUUAGGGGAUAAGGCAUAGGU
RNAcentral lists this transfer-messenger RNA (289 nucleotides) under Bacteroides thetaiotaomicron. RNAcentral describes it as "partial transfer-messenger RNA". It matches the Rfam family "transfer-messenger RNA", at positions 1 to 246 of the family's 374-position model. From Rfam's summary of the family: Bacterial tmRNA, also known as 10Sa RNA or SsrA, is named for its dual tRNA and mRNA-like properties. Its role is to liberate the mRNA from a stalled ribosome. To accomplish this part of the tmRNA is used as a reading frame that ends in a translation stop signal. The record is from RNAcentral. Lineage: Bacteria; Pseudomonadati; Bacteroidota; Bacteroidia; Bacteroidales; Bacteroidaceae.